GACGAACGCUGGCGGCGUGCUUAACACAUGCAAGUCGAACGGAAAGGCCCUGCUUUUGUGGGGUGCUCGAGUGGCGAACGGGUGAGUAACACGUGAGUAACCUGCCCUUGACUUUGGGAUAACUUCAGGAAACUGGGGCUAAUACCGGAUAGGAGCUCCUGCUGCAUGGUGGGGGUUGGAAAGUUUCGGUGGCAGGGCAUGGACUCGCGGCUUAUCAGCUUGUUGGUGGGGUAGUGGCUUACCAAGGCUUUGACGGGUAGCCGGCCUGAGAGGGUGACCGGCCACAUUGGGACUGAGAUAGGGCCCAGACUCCUACGGGAGGCAGCAGUGGGGAAUAUUGCGCGAUGGGCGGAAGCAGGAUGCAGCAACGCCGCGUGCGGGAUGACGGCCUUCGGGUUGUAAACCGCUUUCGCCUGUGACGAAGCGUGAGUGACGGUAAUGUGUAAAGAAGCACCGGCUAACUACGUG
This 468-nucleotide ribosomal RNA is filed under the name uncultured bacterium. Its description in RNAcentral is "partial 16S ribosomal RNA". It matches the Rfam family "Bacterial small subunit ribosomal RNA", at positions 28 to 507 of the family's 1533-position model. The record is from RNAcentral.